GAUAAACGCUGGCGGCGUGCCUAACACAUGCAAGUCGAACGCCCUUUUGCGCAAGUGAGAGGGAGUGGCGGACGGGUGAGUACCACGUGGGUACCUACCUUGAGGUGAGGAAUACCACCGAGAAAUACGGUGACAAGACCGCAUACGCUCGGGCAACCGAGCAAAGUCAUGCAAAUGACGCCACAAGAUGAGCCUGCGCCUGAUUAGCUGGUUGGUGAGGUAACAGCUCACCAAGGCGACGAUCAGUAGCUGGUCUGAGAGGAUGAUCAGCCACACUGGGA
Molecule: ribosomal RNA, 281 nt
Filed under: uncultured bacterium
Lineage: Bacteria
Description: partial 16S ribosomal RNA
Rfam family: Bacterial small subunit ribosomal RNA
Source: RNAcentral